RNAcentral lists this ribosomal RNA (577 nucleotides) under uncultured bacterium. Its description in RNAcentral is "bacterial SSU rRNA". It matches the Rfam family "Bacterial small subunit ribosomal RNA", at positions 55 to 629 of the family's 1533-position model. The record is from RNAcentral.
AUGCAAGUCGAACGGUAACAUUUCUAGCUUGCUAGAAGAUGACGAGUGGCGGACGGGUGAGUAAUGCUUGGGAACUUGCCUUUGCGAGGGGGAUAACAGUUGGAAACGACUGCUAAUACCGCAUAAUGUCUUCGGACCAAACGGGGCUUCGGCUCCGGCGCAAAGAGAGGCCCAAGUGAGAUUAGCUAGUUGGUAAGGUAACGGCUUACCAAGGCGACGAUCUCUAGCUGUUCUGAGAGGAAGAUCAGCCACACUGGGACUGAGACACGGCCCAGACUCCUACGGGAGGCAGCAGUGGGGAAUAUUGCACAAUGGGGGAAACCCUGAUGCAGCCAUGCCGCGUGUGUGAAGAAGGCCUUCGGGUUGUAAAGCACUUUCAGUUGUGAGGAAAAGUUAGUAGUUAAUACCUGCUAGCCGUGACGUUAACAACAGAAGAAGCACCGGCUAACUCCGUGCCAGCAGCCGCGGUAAUACGGAGGGUGCGAGCGUUAAUCGGAAUUACUGGGCGUAAAGCGCACGCAGGCGGUUUGUUAAGCUAGAUGUGAAAGCCCCGGGCUCAACCCGGGAUGGUCAUUUA